CUCCCGCUGCCAGGUCCUACCCUCGGCGCUUCUAAAUGGUGUGGAAAAGGCAACUUCCAGUCCCAGGUGCUGCGCCCCCCCCCCCCCCCCCGCCUGCAUUUCCCUUUCAGCUCCACCUCGAGCACUGAAACGUUCGUAAAGAUUAACACGCUUAUGAGGGGGGCACAUGGUCUGCAUUAGCCCGCUGAAAUGUGCAUGUUAUUAACACAACUCCUGUUGACAAAGCCACAGGUAUUAACACUAUAAAGCAUCUUGACAGCCGGACCGAGGAGGGGGGACGCGCAGAGGGUGCGAGCAACACUUUUGUGAGCUUUUAAUUGCUUUCUGAGUUGUUCCUGUACGUUUCUCUCCCCUAGCAGACGCUGCUGGUUGAGGAGAUGGCCUUGGAGGAAGAGCUACGCAGAGCGAGUUCUGCGAGGCACCAUUAUCUUCCCAGCCCUGGCACAAAAAAGCGCGUUGCGCCGGAGCGGGGAACGGCGGCGACGCUGCAGCUGGAGAUGGGCCCAGCGGCAAGCCUGGAUCCGAACCGCCCGCGAGCCUGACAGGCGGGCUCUGCAUUUUUUGGCUAUGCACCCUGUCUAGAAAAGGCCAAGCCCCUGGCUCCGAGCACUCCCCAAACUUUGGGCAGCGCGAAGAGCCACGUCUGAGCUCGCCGGGUCCGGCCAGCCCUCGGCGCGGCAGGACGGGCAGGGCUCUGCCUCCUCCCCUGCUGAGCUCCUGUCCCAGCAGCACAGGUGUCCUGCUGCCUGCCGAGCCCUCCGGGACCCUCGCCAUCAAAUCCUGCUGCAGCAAAAGCCCUGUUUCUGCCCCAGGUAGCUCCGUCUGUCCUGGUGUGCCCAGUCCGUGUGUCCUGCUCCGGGCAUCCCCCUCUUCCCUGCCCCCCCACGCCCUAAAGUUUUGUCUGUGGCACAGGCUGAGGCUGUGCCUGUCCGGGGGGCUCACGCUGCGGGGAGGAAAGCUUUGCCCUUCCUACAGGGCAUUGAGUUUGGAGCCGGGCAGGUUAGGGGGAAGGUUUGGGGCCAUGGGGUUCAGGAGAUG
This 1038-nucleotide long non-coding RNA is filed under the name Anser brachyrhynchus (Pink-footed goose). RNAcentral describes it as "lncRNA (ENSABRG00000013261.1)". Lineage: Eukaryota; Metazoa; Chordata; Aves; Anseriformes; Anatidae. The record is from RNAcentral.